AACGAACGCUGGCGGCAUGCCUAACACAUGCAAGUCGAACGAGACCUUCGGGUCUAGUGGCGCACGGGUGCGUAACGCGUGGGAACCUGCCCUUAGGUUCGGAAUAACUCCCCGAAAGGGGUGCUAAUACCGGAUAAUGUCUUCUGACCAAAGAUUUAUCGCCUUUGGGUGGGCCCGCGUUGGUUUAGCUGGUUGGUAGGGUAAAAGCCUACCAAGGCGACGAUCCAUAGCUGGUCUGAGAGGAUGAUCAGCCACACUGGGGCUGAGACACGGCCCAGACUCUUAGGGGAGGCAGCAGAGGGGAAUAUUGGAAAACGGGCGGAAGCCUGAUCCAGCAAUGCCGCGAGAGUGAUGAAGGCCUUAGGGUAGUAAAGCUCUUUUACCCGGGAUGAUAAUGACAGUACCGGGAGAAUAAGCUCCGGCUAACUCCGUG
This 433-nucleotide ribosomal RNA is filed under the name uncultured bacterium. RNAcentral's name for it is "partial 16S ribosomal RNA". It matches the Rfam family "Bacterial small subunit ribosomal RNA", at positions 29 to 507 of the family's 1533-position model. The record is from RNAcentral.